GUGCCAGCCGCCGCGGUAAUACGGAGGAUGCAAGCGUUAUCCGGAAUGAUUGGGCGUAAAGCGUCCGCAGGUGGCUUUGUAAGUCUGCUGUUAAAGAGUGAGGCUCAACCUCAUAAAAGCAGUGGAAACUACAAGGCUUGAGUACGUUCGGGGCAGAGGGAAUUCCUGGUGUAGCGGUGAAAUGCGUAGAGACCAGGAAGAACACCGGUGGCGAAAGCGCUCUGCUAGGCCGUAACUGACACUGAGGGACGAAAGCUAGGGGAGCGAAUGGGAUUAGAUACCCCAGUAGUCCUAGCCGUAAACGAUGGAUACUAGGCGUUGUCUGUAUCGACCCGGACAGUGCCGUAGCUAACGCGUUAAGUAUCCCGCCUGGGGAGUACGCAGGCAACUGUGAAACUCAAAGGAAUUGACGGGGGCCCGCACAAGCGGUGGAGUAUGUGGUUUAAUUCGAUGCAACGCGAAGAACCUUACCAGGACUUGACAUGUCGCGAAUCUUGAUGAAAGUCAGGAGUGCCUUCGGGAGCGCGAACACAGGUGGUGCAUGGCUGUCGUCAGCUCGUGUCGUGAGAUGUUGGGUUAAGUCCCGCAACGAGCGCAACCCUCGUUUUUAGUUGCCAGCAUUAAGUUGGGCACUCUAGAGAGACUGCCGGUGACAAACCGGAGGAAGGUGGGGAUGACGUCAAGUCAGCAUGCCCCUUACGCCUUGGGCUACACACGUACUACAAUGCUCCGGACAGAAGGCAGCAAGCAUGCGAAUGCAAGCAAAUCCCGUAAACCGGAGCUCAGUUCAGAUCGCAGGCUGCAACUCGCCUGCGUGAAGGAGGAAUCGCUAGUAAUUGCAGGUCAGCAUACUGCAGUGAAUUCGUUCCCGGGCCUUGUACACACCGCCCGUCACACCAUGGAAGCUGGUAGUGCCCGAAGUCAUUACUCCAACCUUUCGGGGGGGAGGAUGCCUAAGGCAGGACUGGUGACUGGGGUGAAGUCGUAACAAGGUAACC
This 998-nucleotide ribosomal RNA is filed under the name uncultured bacterium. RNAcentral's name for it is "bacterial SSU rRNA". It matches the Rfam family "Bacterial small subunit ribosomal RNA", at positions 505 to 1501 of the family's 1533-position model. The record is from RNAcentral.